Molecule: non-coding RNA, 73 nt
Organism: Pygocentrus nattereri (red-bellied piranha)
Lineage: Eukaryota; Metazoa; Chordata; Actinopteri; Characiformes; Serrasalmidae
Source: the annotation of a RefSeq genome assembly
GCCAGAAUAGCUCAGUCGGGUGGGCGUUAGACUGAAGUUUUAAAGGUCCCUGGUUUGAUCCUGGGUUCUGGCA